This 119-nucleotide ribosomal RNA is filed under the name Pteropus alecto (black flying fox). Lineage: Eukaryota; Metazoa; Chordata; Mammalia; Chiroptera; Pteropodidae. The record is from RNAcentral.
GUCUACGGCCAUGCCACCUUGAACGUGCCUGAUCCUGUCUGAUCUUGGAAGCUAUGCAGGGUUGGGCCUGUUUAGUACUUGGAUAGGAGACCACUUAGGAAGACCAGAUGCUGCAGGCA